Molecule: non-coding RNA, 1798 nt
Organism: Microcebus murinus (gray mouse lemur)
Lineage: Eukaryota; Metazoa; Chordata; Mammalia; Primates; Cheirogaleidae
Source: RefSeq, a predicted model, not a curated record
GCCCGGGAGAACCAGGUCAUCGGUCGGUUCCCGUGAAAACAAAAACAAUCGGCGGCGCCGCCGCGGACACCCGAACGCCGCGAGCGGGGGCCGGGGACGUGGGGCCGGGUGGGGCGAGUGAGAGGGAGCGGCGGCGACGCGCCGGGGGGCCGGGGCGCCAUGGGGCAGGCGGGCACUGGCUGCGCCGGGCUCCCCCGGCGCCGUGGCUAGCUCGCCCGCCGCCUCAGCCGCCCGCGCCGCCCGCCUGGGGGACGAGGAGCAGGACGCGGCCUCGGCGGGGCCCGGGCCGAACGGCUGCGGACACCCGGGCGCCGGGGAGCCGAGCGCCGCCGCCUCCGGCAUGGAUCAGUGCGUGACGGUGGAGCGAGAGCUGGAGAAGGUGCUGCACAAGUUCUCGGGCUACGGGCAGCUGUGCGAGCGCGGCCUGGAGGAGCUCAUCGACUACACGGGCGGCCUGAAGCACGAGAUCCUGCAGAGCCACGGCCAAGAUGCUGAAUUAUCAGGGACACUUUCACUUGUUUUGACACAGUGCUGUAAAAGAAUAAAGGAUACCGUUCAAAAAUUGGCCUCAGACCACAAAGACAUCCACAGCAGUGUUUCUCGUGUUGGAAAAGCCAUUGAUAAGAAUUUUGAUUCUGACAUCAGCAGUGUGGGAAUAGAUGGCUGCUGGCAAGCAGACAGCCAAAGGCUUCUAAAUGAGGUGAUGGUGGAACACUUCUUCCGACAAGGAAUGCUGGAUGUAGCUGAGGAGCUCUGCCAGGAAUCUGGUCUUUCUGUAGACCCAAGUCAGAAAGAACCAUUUGUGGAGUUAAAUCGAAUACUAGAAGCAUUAAAAGUCAGAGUUCUAAGACCUGCUCUGGAGUGGGCAGUAUCAAACCGAGAAAUGCUUAUAGCCCAAAACAUCUCCUUGGAAUUUAAGCUACACAGACUGUAUUUCAUUAGCUUGUUAAUGGGAGGAACUACAAAUCAGCGAGAGGCAUUACAGUAUGCUAAAAAUUUUCAGCCAUUUGCCCUAAAUCAUCAAAAAGAUAUUCAGGUUUUGAUGGGAAGCCUCGUGUAUCUGAGACAAGGGAUUGAGAACUCACCGUAUGUUCACCUGCUUGAUGCAAACCAGUGGGCUGAUAUCUGUGACAUCUUUACACGGGAUGCUUGUGCCCUCCUGGGGCUCUCUGUGGAGUCCCCUCUCAGUGUCAGUUUCUCAGCAGGUUGUGUGGCAUUGCCAGCUUUAAUUAACAUCAAAGCGGUGAUUGAACAGAGGCAGUGCACUGGAGUUUGGAACCAGAAAGAUGAAUUACCUAUUGAAGUGGACCUUGGUAAAAAGUGUUGGUAUCACUCUAUAUUUGCCUGUCCCAUUCUUCGUCAGCAAACAACAGAUAACAAGCCACCCAUGAAAUUGGUCUGUGGUCAUAUUAUAUCAAGAGAUGCCCUGAAUAAAAUGUUUAAUGGUAGCAAAUUAAAAUGUCCAUAUUGUCCAAUGGAACAAAGUCCAGGAGAUGCCAAACAGAUAUUUUUCUGAAGAAGUAACUUUAGUUUGCAAUUUGAAGAAAGCUGUGAUAGAUUCCAAAUUUGCUUUUUGAUGUUUCCCUCUGCUCCUCCUCCAAGAAGUCAGCACACCUGCAUUUGAGCUCUGCUUGUAGCCCCAGCAGGCUGCCUGUUUAAAAUUUCAUCAUUUAGCAGGCUGGUGUGAGAAGUCUUCCAUUAGAAUAGAGUGGAAAGGAGUACUAUUGUUUUUUUGCUUUUAUUGCCAAGAGGUGCUUGUUUUAAAAAGUUUGUUCAAUAAAAUGAAAUUCUGAAGUUA